GUGAGACAGUUCGGUCCCUAUCCGCUGUGCGCGUAGGAAUAUUGAGAAGGGCUGUCCCUAGUACGAGAGGACCGGGACGGACGAACCUCUGGUGUGCCAGUUGUUCUGCCAAGGGCAUGGCUGGUUGGCUACGUUCGGGAGGGAUAACCGCUGAAAGCAUCUAAGCGGGAAGCCUGCUUCGAGAUGAGUGUUCCCACCUCCUUGAGAGGGUAAGGCUCCCAGUAGACGACUGGGUUGAUAGGCCGGAUAUGGAAGCCCUGUAAGGGGUGGAGUUGACCGGUACUAAUAGGCCGAGGGCUUGUCCUCAGUUG
RNAcentral lists this ribosomal RNA (311 nucleotides) under Streptomyces sp. SID7982. RNAcentral's name for it is "partial 23S ribosomal RNA". It matches the Rfam family "Bacterial large subunit ribosomal RNA", at positions 2621 to 2925 of the family's 2925-position model. Lineage: Bacteria; Bacillati; Actinomycetota; Actinomycetes; Kitasatosporales; Streptomycetaceae. The record is from RNAcentral.